AUUUAAAUUAAUCCCAGGUAAUCUCCAGAUGCCAGCUGUCCAUCAUCCCUGCCUUCUUCCAGAUGAUCAAAGUGCUCCUGUUCCUCCUCACCAUGGCCUUUCAUCACCUUCACCACUGGAGAGCAGAUAAGAAAAUGUUUGAGCAUUGUGGGAGAUGCAAGAGUAGACCCCUGCAUCAGAGACAUGGAGGCCCUGUAUCUGAAGCCAAGUAGAGACUGUGUAGCGCAGGGGACCGCCUCGAGCCUGAAAAAAAGACGGGAUUAAAUCUCAACAGAUGAUAUAAAUCUAAUGAAAGCUCAGGUAUGGAAGAGGGAAGGCUGAGACCUCGCAGCCAAACACGAUGUCGUUCCCGGUGUAGUUGGACAGGUUGCUGGGGCCUCGAAGGAUACGGGGAGCUGCGGCAGAAGAAAGGAGUAUCUCA
Siniperca chuatsi (mandarin fish) is the source of this 421-nucleotide long non-coding RNA. RefSeq lists it as uncharacterized. The record is from RefSeq and is a predicted model, not a curated record. NCBI's taxonomy places the organism in Eukaryota, Metazoa, Chordata, Actinopteri, Centrarchiformes, Sinipercidae. The transcript is spliced from 3 exons.